AUUUAUAUAGCGCUUUAAACAAAACAGAUUGUGUCAAAGCAACUGAACAACAUUAAUUAGGAAAACAGUGCGUCAAUAAUGCAAAAUGACAGUUAAAGGCAUCAUUGAAUUCAGGGAUGUUCAUCAUUGAAUUCAGGGAUGUCAUCAUGCAGCUCAGUUCAGUUUAAAUAGUAUCAGUGCACUCAUUUGCAAUCAAGUCAACGAUAUCGCUGUAAAUGAAGUGUCCCCAACUAAGCAAGCCAGAGGCGACAGCGGCAAGGAACCAAAACUUCAUCAGUGACAGAAUGGAGAAAAAACCUUGGGAGAAACCAGGCUCAGUCGGGGGGCCAGUUCUCCUCUGGCCAGACGAAACCAGCAGUUCAGUUCCAGGCUGCAGCAAAGUCAGAUUGUGCACAGGACUCAACUGGUACCUGUGGUCUUGUCCCGGUUGUCGUCUGAGACAAGGUCUUUACAGGGGAUCUGUAUCUGGGGCUCAUCUAGUUUUCCUGGUCUCCGCUGAGAUUCAGGGCUGUAGAGGACCUUUCUAGGUGCUGAUCCACCAUCUGGGCUGGAUACGUACUGGAUCCGGGGGACUACAGUGACCAUCUGACCUGGAUACAGACUGGAUCUGAUGGCUUCGGUGACCUCGGAAUAAGAGAGAAACAGACUAAUAUUAGCGUAGAUGCCAUUCUUCUAACAAUGUAACAAGUACAUUGGGUGUUAUAGGAAGUGUUCCCGGUUCCGGUUUACCUAAUUAAUGCAGCCUAAAAAUCCUUUAACGGAUUUGGAUAUUAUAAGCGUAUUAGUGUGUAAUGUGUAAGCCAGGUUAAAGAGAUGGGUCUUUAAUCUAGAUUUAAACUGCAUGAGUGUGUUGUGACACUGUCACAUAAGGGACAUGUUUUAACCGCUCUAUUUAUUACAGUGAUUUUAUGUAUUAUAGAGUUUUAAUUGGUUUUCAUGUUUCUUAUGUCCAUUUUAUGCCUUUUAACCAUUUUAGUGUGUGUAUGUCUAUAAGAACUGUAUGGUUGGCCUGUCAGGUGAUCAGUCACCUGACAGGAAGCAGGAGCACUAUAAGAAGAGCAGGGGGAGGCUAUGUUACACUGUCACAUAAGGGACAUGUUUUAACCGCUCUAUUUAUUACAGUGAUUUUAUGUAUUUAAUUGGUUUUCUUAUGUCCAUUUUAUGCCUCUUAACCAUUUUAGUGUGUGUAUGUCUUUAAGAACUGUAUGGUUGGCCUGUCAGGUGAUCAGUCACCUGACAGGAAGCAGGAGCACUAUAAGAAGAGCAGCAUGGCAAACAAACAAGGAGGCCAUUACCAGUUUCCACUCACACCCGGACUGUGGAGUUACUUUUAUUGGUCUUACCUUUCCAGACACUUACAGCCACUUGGAUUUCACUCAGAUUGGAUUGUAUAAACACUACUGGACACUCACAUUGGAACUCAACAACACACAGGGAUUCUUGGACUGUUUUUAGGGUAUGGAUAAAAUAACUGUGUUCUUUUAACAGACUGAGUCUACCUGGUUGUAUUGUGUUGUUUUAAAGUCUUUUAUUGUGAACCUGUAAAUACACCAAUCUUAUUAACUGUAUUUCUGUUUUAUGGCAUUCUUUUAACACGUUUUAACUCUCACACAGAGAAGUCAGACCCCAUUUCAAUUUUAGUAACCCAACCCGCUGGGCUGAGCAUUACAGUAUCUGCCUCCCAAACAAUGUUAGGUAGGUUAUUCCAGAGCUUAGGCGCUAAAUAGGAAAAGGAUCUCCC
Long non-coding RNA from Cyprinus carpio carpio, 1741 nucleotides. Lineage: Eukaryota; Metazoa; Chordata; Actinopteri; Cypriniformes; Cyprinidae. The record is from Ensembl.